This 442-nucleotide ribosomal RNA is filed under the name uncultured bacterium. Its description in RNAcentral is "SSU rRNA". It matches the Rfam family "Bacterial small subunit ribosomal RNA", at positions 26 to 518 of the family's 1533-position model. The record is from RNAcentral.
AGGACGAACGCUGGCGGCAGGCCUAACACAUGCAAGUCGAACGCACCGCAAGGUGAGUGGCAGACGGGUGAGUAACGCGUGGGAACCUACCCUUUGGUACGGAACAUACCAGGGAAACCUGGGGUAAUACCGUAUAAGCCCUUCGGGGGAAAGAUUUAUCGCCAUUGGAUGGGCCCGCGUCGGAUUAGCUAGUUGGUGAGGUAACGGCUCACCAAGGCGACGAUCCGUAGCUGGUCUGAGAGGACGAUCAGCCACACUGGGACUGAGACACGGCCCAGACUCCUACGGGAGGCAGCAGUGGGGAAUAUUGGUCAAUGGGCGAAAGCCUGAACCAGCCAUGCCGCGUGAGUGAUGAAGGCCUUAGAGUUGUAAAGCUCUUUCGACGGGGAAGAUAAUGACGGUACCGUAGAAGAAGCCCGGCUAACUUCGUGCCAGCAGCCGC